This 253-nucleotide ribosomal RNA is filed under the name uncultured bacterium. Its description in RNAcentral is "partial 16S ribosomal RNA". It matches the Rfam family "Bacterial small subunit ribosomal RNA", at positions 524 to 776 of the family's 1533-position model. The record is from RNAcentral.
UACGAAGGGGGCUAGCGUUGUUCGGAAUUACUGGGCGUAAAGGUCGCGUAGGCGGUGUGUCAAGUCAGGCGUGAAAGCCCCGGGCUCAACCUGGGAACAGCGCUUGAGACUGGCACGCUCGAGUUCGGGAGAGGAUGGUGGAAUUCCCAGUGUAGAGGUGAAAUUCGUAGAUAUUGGGAAGAACACCGAUGGCGAAGGCAGCCAUCUGGACCGACACUGACGCUGAGGCGCGAAAGCGUGGGGAGCAAACAGG